AAAGUGGCGAACGGCUGAGUAACACGUGGGCAACCUGCCCUUUGCACUGGGAUAGCCUCGGGAAACCGAGGUUAAUACCGGAUACUCCAUAUUUGUCGCAUGGCGAAUAUGGGAAAGCUCCGGCGGCAAAGGAUGGGCCCGCGGCCUGUUAGCUAGUUGGUGGGGUAGUGGCCUACCAAGGCAAUGAUGGGUAGCCGGGUUGAGAGACCGACCGGCCAGAUUGGGACUGAGACACGGCCCAGACUCCUACGGGAGGCAGCAGUG
This 264-nucleotide ribosomal RNA is filed under the name uncultured Atopobium sp. RNAcentral's name for it is "partial 16S ribosomal RNA". It matches the Rfam family "Bacterial small subunit ribosomal RNA", at positions 92 to 356 of the family's 1533-position model. The record is from RNAcentral. Lineage: Bacteria; Bacillati; Actinomycetota; Coriobacteriia; Coriobacteriales; Atopobiaceae.